This 460-nucleotide ribosomal RNA is filed under the name uncultured bacterium. RNAcentral's name for it is "partial 16S ribosomal RNA". It matches the Rfam family "Bacterial small subunit ribosomal RNA", at positions 338 to 795 of the family's 1533-position model. The record is from RNAcentral.
CCUACGGGAGGCAGCAGUGAGGAAUAUUGGUCAAUGGGCGAGAGCCUGAACCAGCCAAGUAGCGUGAAGGAUGACUGCCCUAGGGGUUGUAAACUUCUUUUGUAAGGGAAUAAAACGAGGCUCGUUUGCCUUUUUGCAUGUACUUUAUGAAUAAGGAUCGGCUAACUCAGUGCCAGCAGCCGCGGUAAUACGGAGGUUCCGAGCGUUAUCCGGAUUUAUUGGGUGUAAAGGGAGCGUAGAUGGGUUGUUAAGUCAGUUGUGAAAGUUUGCGGCUCAACCGUCAAAUUGCAAUUGAUACUGGCAUUCUUGAGUACAGUAGAGGUAGGCGGAAUUCGUGGUGUAGCGGUGAAAUGCUUAGAUAUCACGAAGAACACCGAUUGCGAAGGCAGCUUACUAAACUGUGACUGACAUUGAUGCUCGAAAGUGUGGGUAUCAAACAGGAUUAGAUACCCUGGUAGUC